RNAcentral lists this ribosomal RNA (318 nucleotides) under Triticum aestivum (bread wheat). RNAcentral's name for it is "partial small subunit ribosomal RNA". The record is from RNAcentral. Lineage: Eukaryota; Viridiplantae; Streptophyta; Magnoliopsida; Poales; Poaceae.
AUGUUCAUCAUUUUUGCUAGACAAAAUGCAGAAGAUUUAAUUUCCCUUCUCUGCAUCCUGCCCUGCCUCCUCUUCCACUUGAAGCUCCUCUGCAGCCAUGGUGAUGGCGGUGCGCCUCUGUUACUGCAAAACCGCCAACCUCGAGGUAUACAACAGCAGCCACUGUGUUUUGCAAAUGAAGCCACCAGGGCUUGGCAGGCCAUGCCCAUCGUGCCGCGUAUUGUCAAAGUUGCUGCCACUACCACUGUUUACUUGGCCAAGGUCAAACUACAGCCACGAUAUCAGAUGGUUCCACGUGUGCUUUUGUUUGCCCUGUAG